GCGACGUAGUUGCUAGGGGCGGGUGUAAGGGGUAGGGUGCAAGGGGUGUCCGGAAUUAGUGGUGGGAAAGGGAUCGUAGGGGGUUUGUCGGGUCGGCUGUGAAAGCCGGGGGCUCAAGGCCGGGCCGGCAGCCGGUACGGGCAAACUAGAAUGCGGGAGGGGAGACGGGAAUUCCUGGUGUAGCGGUGAAAUGCGCAGAUAUCAGGAGGAACACCGGUGGCGAAGGCGGGUCUCUGGGCCGAUAUUGACGCUGAGGAGCGAAAGCGUGGGGAGCGAACAGGAUUAGAUACCCUUGUAGUC
Molecule: ribosomal RNA, 300 nt
Filed under: uncultured Pyrobaculum sp.
Lineage: Archaea; Thermoproteati; Thermoproteota; Thermoprotei; Thermoproteales; Thermoproteaceae
Description: bacterial SSU rRNA
Rfam family: Bacterial small subunit ribosomal RNA (bases 52-300)
Source: RNAcentral